Molecule: long non-coding RNA, 566 nt
Organism: Monodelphis domestica (gray short-tailed opossum)
Lineage: Eukaryota; Metazoa; Chordata; Mammalia; Didelphimorphia; Didelphidae
Source: RefSeq, a predicted model, not a curated record
AACUCUAGGCUUAUUGGUUGCAGGGCUUGUUUCUUGGUUACUGCUAGUCCUAUUGUUCCAUAACUGCUAGGCUAACCAUCACAGAAUCAUAAAUUCAGAACUGGAAGAGUCUCAUUUUCUAGAUGAUGAAACAGGCUCAAAGGGGUUCACUGAGUUGUCUAAGGAUUCAUAAGGAGCAAAUGUCAGAGGCACAAAAAAUGCUAGUUAACAACUCUCCUUAUCUCAGAGGGUUGGUCCAAAUUUAGAUGAAUACAGAACCUAAGAGAUGGGGAAGGGAAAGGAAAGACCCUGAAAAACAGUCUGAAGAAUGGGAAGCGUCAAGAACAGGUCAAUGCCAGAUGCACUUUUGACUCAUGGACCAGACUCAGCUUGAUGACUAAACCAUCCAAGUACCAAAAAGGACUUGCCCCAUUCCCGACCGUCUUUCUAUAGUCCACACUUCCCGUGGACCUGAAGCCCUCCCACGAUUGGCCAUUGAGGCUGUUUCAGGAGUGAUUUUCCAAUUCGCCACAUGUUCCUGGUUUCCCAAGGCCUGGCUUGUCCAAAUGUCAUUUGCUGAGAACUAA